AGUGAGUUCUGCAGUCUGAUUCAAUCUUUUCCACUGGACACUUUCAGCAGGGGAAAGUAAUUGCUUUUGAAUUUUCAGAGAAAUUUCUUUGACUUUAGACUUUGACUGUCUUCCAUGAGACGAACACAAUGGAUUGGAUGAUCUCAACUACAUUUUUCCUUUCAGUGUUAAAAGCUGCACUUUGUUUCAACAUUGACCCUCUGGCUUGGAAGUCCCUGCAGAAUCCUGCUGCAGGUUUUGGCUACCAGGUGGUGCAAAGACGAUCAGAUUUGCUCGUCAGUGCCCCUCUUCAACAGUAUUCAGGACAUCGAAGGGGUCAGAUAUUUAGGUGCACCACUGAGAGAUGCCAACGUCUGCAAGUUCCAG
Long non-coding RNA from Melanotaenia boesemani (Boeseman's rainbowfish), 366 nucleotides. RefSeq lists it as uncharacterized. NCBI's taxonomy places the organism in Eukaryota, Metazoa, Chordata, Actinopteri, Atheriniformes, Melanotaeniidae. The transcript is spliced from 3 exons. The record is from RefSeq and is a predicted model, not a curated record.